UUUCACCCUCCGAGGACAGAACAGGACUCUUUGGGAGGCGGUCACGAAGGUAAAGGAGGGUCCCACAGAAGUACGUACCUCAAUGGCUUUUGCUGCUUGCUCUUUUGUUUCAAAUUCCACAAAGGCAAAUCCCUUAGGAUCCCCAGUAGACUUGUAAUGUGGAAUACUUAUGUAAACCACAUUGCCACAUUUCCCAAAUACUCUCUCAAUCCAGCUAUGAGUAACAUUUUUGGGGAGCAACUCCUGUAAUAAAUCAUGGUAUGAACAUUUUAAAGUUCCUACAUUUUUACCAAUAAAUGAAUUAUAAAUAAAUGAACUAGAAUUAAAA
Mus musculus (house mouse) is the source of this 328-nucleotide long non-coding RNA. RefSeq annotates it as predicted gene, 51018. The record is from RefSeq and is marked validated. Lineage: Eukaryota; Metazoa; Chordata; Mammalia; Rodentia; Muridae. The transcript is spliced from 2 exons.